AACGUAGGUGGCGAGCGUUAUCCGGAUUUACUGGGCGUAAAGGGUGUGCAGGCGGGCUGUUAAGGGGUGUAUGAAAUAUCCCGGCUCAACCGGGAGAGGUUAUGCCAGACUGGCAGUCUAGAGAGCGAGAGAGGGACGUGGAAUUCCGGGUGUAGUGGUGAAAUGCGCAGAUAUCAGGAGGAACACCGAUGGCGAAGGCAGGUCUCUGGGCAUUAACUGACGCUGAGGAGCGAAAGCAUGGGGAGCAAACAGG
Molecule: ribosomal RNA, 253 nt
Filed under: uncultured bacterium
Lineage: Bacteria
Description: partial 16S ribosomal RNA
Rfam family: Bacterial small subunit ribosomal RNA
Source: RNAcentral